AAUAUUAUGCCUGAUUAAAGGAGUAAAUUGUAAAUUUAUUGAUGAAAUUAAUUUUUCUAAUAUUA
This 65-nucleotide transfer RNA is filed under the name Lasioglossum minutissimum. RNAcentral describes it as "tRNA-Tyr". Lineage: Eukaryota; Metazoa; Arthropoda; Insecta; Hymenoptera; Halictidae. The record is from RNAcentral.